GCUGGCACAAUGAUGAUUCCUUUUGCCGUUUACCCAUCUGAAUGUAUGCUGAUGCGCUCUAUUUUAAUUCUGAGAUGCCAGC
Small nucleolar RNA from Varanus komodoensis (Komodo dragon), 82 nucleotides. The record is from Ensembl. Lineage: Eukaryota; Metazoa; Chordata; Lepidosauria; Squamata; Varanidae.